RNAcentral lists this unclassified non-coding RNA (2203 nucleotides) under Hevea brasiliensis (rubber tree). The record is from RNAcentral. Lineage: Eukaryota; Viridiplantae; Streptophyta; Magnoliopsida; Malpighiales; Euphorbiaceae.
GUAGGAUUUAAAUUGAUUUGAAUCAAGGGUUCUGUUAGGAAGAAAAAGGGGAACGCCUUUUUUUUUUAAGAUUUGCUAUGAUCUUGUUUCAUAUCAUGUUGGAAGGUUCAUUUUUUGAAUUUCAAAUAUGUCCAGGACGGGGUCAUUUUUCUGUCUUCAUUAUGGUGUUUGGCAUCUUGAAUUUUGAAUUAUUUUGACAUUUAUCAGCAAGAUUGGACUACUGACAGUUACAUCGAGAGUAUCUUUUGGUUUUAGUACAGUUUAUUUUAUUCUUAUUAUAAUUAGGCAUUGGAAACUAUACCGAAUAGAUCUCCAGGAUGCAAUUAUUCACAUCAAUAACUUACAUCUUUAUUUUGUUUUAUUUUCUUCUUCCUUUUUUUGGAUUUUGUAUUUGUAAUGUUGAAAGAGCUUCACGUGUAGAAAUAAGACUUACAAUUUUCUUAAAAAAGUGAAAGAUUUAGAGUGUAUGCUAAAAAAUUCUACACUUGAAUUGUAUCCUAAAAUGAGUUAUUGAGUUUUAUGAAAAACUUGGCAACUAUCGUGCAUUUAAUGGGAAGUGUUGAGAGGAAGUUUGUAGAAAUGAAUUGUUAAAGAAUCUUCAAUCCAUAAGUGUCUUUAACAAGUGUUCAAUGCAAUUGGAGGUUGUUACUUUAUUAGUUUUGCUUUUUCUGGUUUUUUGGCUGAAACUUGCUGUAAAUACUGAAGUCGACCAUUUUACCCCCAAUAAACAAUAAUACACCCUCAUCGCUUCACUCUGUUCAUCUUCUCACUUCCUACCUAUCUUUCUUUAUUAUCUUCUCUCUCCUUUUCCUAUGCACAAAUUCCAUAUAUCCUUUUCCAUCUGUUUCUAAUUGAAAUGCCAAUGUCCACUAAUAUAUGACGACACUUUCCACUUAUUUAUUUUACAUGCACUCACAAUUGAGAAAAUUGAAGGAAAAAAAAAUAGAGGCUUAUUUGGCUGCCAAGAAAUUGCAAGGGAAAAAAAUGAUGGUUCUUUAUCAGAUUUACUUCCCAAGUUAAGAUAUUUAUGUUGGUAGAGAUAGCAAGUGAAGAAACUGAGUUUUUGUAUAGGAAAAGGAAGAAUGUAAUAGAGUGAGAAAAAAGGGUAGGAGUAGUAUUGUUUAUUGGUAAAAUGGUCCAUUUUAUUAUUUGAGCAAGUAAAUCUGGCCAAAUGCAUAUCUCCUCUAAUAUCAGCCUUAAUCGCACCUAAAUUUAUACACAUUUAAUGUUUCUUAGAUUAUCACAUUAAUGCCAAAAAAUUAAUAGUCACAAAAGAAUGAGUUUUUCAUAUGCAUUCAUAGCUAUGAAAUAAUCACAACUCAUUUUGAUUCAUGCAGGUAUGAACCACUCUCCUAUUUGCUUGGGAAGGAGUACUUUCUCCAUGCUUAUGGUCCAAUAUAUGCUCUUUCAGCUGAUGUUGUUGCAAGUUUAGUUGCUCUUAGAAAUGACAGGCAAGUUAACUUGUACCCUUUUUGGCUAUUUCUAGUAACUCUUUACUUAUUAGUUCGUGAAGCUUUUCCUUUUUCAUUUUUUCCUAUCAUUUACAUUCAUCAAAAUCCAUUUUUAAAUCUAAAUCCCAUUGAGGUAGUAGCAAUGAAUUUCUAAUUUAUUGAGGUCUUUGGUACUCUGCCAACCUUGAAGGAAGCUUGUUGAAAAUUUGAAAUCAUAUGAUAAUUAUUGUUCCACUACCAUUAAAUUCUUCUUAAAAAGGGAUAUAAUUUUUAGCAUAAAGGCAUAAAGGGAGCAGUAUUAAAAAAUAUUGGGAGCUGAAUUUAUUUUGUCUGCCCUCAUUCUAAUAUCUAUUUGUUUUCAACCAAAGUAAGUCAAGAGUUACGCUUAUACUUGGUAGACUUUAAUUUUUGAUAACUUAAAAGAAUUGGUACUCUUUUUUUCAUAUAAUUCAGAAACUAUUAAAUGGGAUUGUUAGGAUUCAAACCCUUAGCCUCCUAUACUAUGGACUCUAAAUCUUUUUGCUGUGGAUUCAAGUCUUUUUGGUUGCUGGAAAGUACAUUGAAUUCAACAUUUUAUUCCUCCCAAAGUUCCAACCUUGGAUCCAUCCCUGCUUCAAUUGAUAAUUAGUUUUUGCAACAUUGCCAUCCAUUGUGUGUAAAGGCAAUCAUAGCACAAGAAAAUGAGCUUCUUGGUAUCGCAGAUUGGGUCAAUAUUUUGCCUUCGUUAUGACAUCUCUUUUUUCCUUUGAAAU